This 340-nucleotide ribosomal RNA is filed under the name uncultured Pseudomonas sp. RNAcentral's name for it is "bacterial SSU rRNA". It matches the Rfam family "Bacterial small subunit ribosomal RNA", at positions 1041 to 1382 of the family's 1533-position model. Lineage: Bacteria; Pseudomonadati; Pseudomonadota; Gammaproteobacteria; Pseudomonadales; Pseudomonadaceae. The record is from RNAcentral.
CUGCAUGGCUGUCGUCAGCUCGUGCUGUGAAGUGUUGGUUAAGUCCGCAACGAGCGCAACCCUGCUGCCUGUUGCCACCGACGGAGAGGUGGGACGUCAGGCGGGACCGCCGGUGACAAACCGGAGGAAGGUGGGGACGACGUCAAGUCAUCAUGGCCCUUACGGCCUGGGCUACACACGUGCUACAAUGGUCGGUACAAAGGGUUGCCAAGCCGCGAGGUGGAGCUAAUCCCAUAAAACCGAUCGUAGUCCGGAUCGCAGUCUGCAACUCGACUGCGUGAAGUCGGAAUCGCUAGUAAUCGUGAAUCAGAAUGUCACGGUGAAUACGUUCCCGGGCCUU